AUUCCUACGGGAGGCAGCAGUGGGGAAUCUUGCGCAAUGGGCGAAAGCCUGACGCAGCCAUGCCGCGUGAAUGAUGAAGGUCUUAGGAUUGUAAAAUUCUUUCAGCGGGGAAGAUAAUGACGGUACCCGCAGAAGAAGCCCCGGCUAACUUCGUGCCAGCAGCCGCGGUAAUAAU
This 175-nucleotide ribosomal RNA is filed under the name uncultured bacterium. RNAcentral's name for it is "partial 16S ribosomal RNA". It matches the Rfam family "Bacterial small subunit ribosomal RNA", at positions 335 to 526 of the family's 1533-position model. The record is from RNAcentral.